RNAcentral lists this ribosomal RNA (442 nucleotides) under soil bacterium 06G-09. Its description in RNAcentral is "bacterial SSU rRNA". It matches the Rfam family "Bacterial small subunit ribosomal RNA", at positions 19 to 474 of the family's 1533-position model. The record is from RNAcentral.
CUGGCUCAGGAUGAACGCUGGCGGCGUGCUUAACACAUGCAAGUCGAACGAUGAUCCGGUGCUUGCACCGGGGAUUAGUGGCGAACGGGUGAGUAACACGUGAGUAACCUGCCCUUGACUCUGGGAUAAGCCUGGGAAACUGGGUCUAAUACCGGAUAUGACUCCUCAUCGCAUGGUGGGGGGUGGAAAGCUUUUGCGGUUUUGGAUGGACUCGCGGCCUAUCAGCUUGUUGGUGAGGUAAUGGCUUACCAAGGCGACGACGGGUAGCCGGCCUGAGAGGGUGACCGGCCACACUGGGACUGAGACACGGCCCAGACUCCUACGGGAGGCAGCAGUGGGGAAUAUUGCACAAUGGGCGCAAGCCUGAUGCAGCGACGCCGCGUGAGGGAUGACGGCCUUCGGGUUGUAAACCUCUUUCAGUAGGGAAGAAGCGAAAGUGACG